ACUGGACAGAGAUAUACUGCUAUCCAAAGUCUGUGUUGACGACCCGUCCAUGCUCCGGGUUUUGUGUCCUGUUCUGUGUCCUCGGUCUUUAAUUACAGUCUAUGGGUCAGAUAACUAGGCCCAGAAAGCAGCGGCGGAUGCGCGUUCAGGGCAAAGCUCGCCCACGAUGUUGUUUGCUUGUGCCACGCGGGUGUGACAUUCACAGCUACAUCUAAAAUGCUACAUGCUGUCCGUGGAAGUGACAUCCUGCUCAAGUGCUACUGGGAGGUUGCAGGCCUGACCUCCAGAUGAACCUACCACACUUGACUGUGGAUGUCUCAGACCAGAGUCUCUUUCUGUAGCAUUUGUUAAAAGACGCCCAGCGGCUGUGCUGCUUACCUUCCAGGGAGGAAUAGAUUGUCCUCAGUUAAACUCAUGGAGGCCAGGUGGAGAGCAGGACGCGGAGGA
Long non-coding RNA from Mugil cephalus (flathead mullet), 447 nucleotides. RefSeq lists it as uncharacterized. The record is from RefSeq and is a predicted model, not a curated record. The transcript has 3 exons. NCBI's taxonomy places the organism in Eukaryota, Metazoa, Chordata, Actinopteri, Mugiliformes, Mugilidae.